UGGGGAAUAUUGCACAAUGGGCGAAAGCCUGAUGCAGCAACGCCGCGUGAGUGAUGAAGGCCUUCGGGUUGUAAAGCUCUGUCUUCUGGGACGAUAAUGACGGUACCAGAGGAGGAAGCCACGGCUAACUACGUGCCAGCAGCCGCGGUAAUACGUGGGUGGCAAGCGUUGUCCGGAUUUACUGGGCGUAAAGGAUGCGUAGGCGGAUACUUAAGUCAGAUGUGAAAAUCCCGGGCUUAACUUGGGAACUGCAUUUGAAACUGGGUAUCUAGAGUGCGGGAGAGUAAAGUGGAAUUCCUAGUGUAGCGGUGAAAUGCGUAGAGAUUAGGAAGAACACCAGUGGCGAAGGCGACUUUCUGGACCGUAACUGACGCUGAGGCAUGAAAGCGUGGGGAGCAAACA
RNAcentral lists this ribosomal RNA (402 nucleotides) under uncultured bacterium. RNAcentral's name for it is "bacterial SSU rRNA". It matches the Rfam family "Bacterial small subunit ribosomal RNA", at positions 355 to 774 of the family's 1533-position model. The record is from RNAcentral.